Molecule: long non-coding RNA, 2449 nt
Organism: Centropristis striata (black sea bass)
Lineage: Eukaryota; Metazoa; Chordata; Actinopteri; Perciformes; Serranidae
Exons: 2
Source: RefSeq, a predicted model, not a curated record
UUUUUUUUUUUAGGCCUGAGACAGUAGUAUGGUUCUCACAGCACAGUAAGACAACUAGCUCUGACUCAGUGGCCAGUGACUCAAGUUUUCAUUCUCCCAGCAGGACUGGGAGGAGUUUUGCACCUUAGUUUCAAAUUAAUAGAUGGGAACUUAUGAAAUUUGUUAGCCUAACAGUCACAGCCUUGAAUGCUUCCAGACAUCAACUUACUGCCCUAUCCUCCAACAUCGUAUGGUGUUAGAUAUAUUGACAGCCAGCUCAGGUGGCGUGAGUGCUGUCAUAGUUAAGACGUGUUGUACCUAAAUAGAUGAAGAAGAAGAUUACACCAAUGUGCUUUUUACUUGUAAUUGUUAUUUAUUAAGUUUGGAUGACACACAAAUUAUGCCUAUUGAUUCAAUAUAAUAUCAUGACUUGUGUAGGUUCUUCUCAUCUGAGUCAUAGUCUAAUCAUGUCUAGCUAAUGUUGCCAACUGGCUCCAGUAAUAGCCACUGCUUGCUAAGAGGCUAGGCCUCCAUUUUGGCUUGUUUAUUUGACAUGUUGCAAACCAGUCGUUUUAUGUAGGGGCCGUUUUAUUUUUCCUAAAUUUGGUUGUAUUUUAUUUUUUUCCAAAUUCAGUUUUUUUUUAACCUCUUCAAACUGAAAAUCCCCCGUACAGUGGCAGCAUGAGAUGCAUGCACAAUACAGAUGAUCUGCGUCUGCUAGGAAGCACCAAUCCUAACAUGAAGCACACCAAAAUGUUGGGGAGAAACUCAGCUAAAAACCUCUACCAAGCAUUGUCACCCAAAUGAAACAUGGUUAAAUCCCCAAGCAAUUAUAUGAGCAUGUAACAAAAAUUUGAAAACAGGCCAUGUCCACUUUAGUGCUGCUGCUAAUUUCACCACUUCAACCAAACCACACAAACGGUGCGUAAUAACCUGUGAACCCUCAAGGGGCUGAAUGUGAGAAUGUAUAGAGGCCUCAAAAACAGUUGUAUUUGGAUGGAAUUAAUAAUCAUAGUGAUAAAUAAGUGAAAUAGUAUUAAUUUUCCAGUCUGGUACCUGAAAAAGGUCAAAUGGCACAUGUGGUAUCCGCCUGGACAUACCUGUGUUAAAACUUCUGUUACUUAGAAAAGGUAAUUCACAAUACUCAAAACAUUGCUUUGAAUUAAUGUAAUAUCCAGCAGUUGGCUUAACUUAAAUAUUCUAGUGGAAAACGUUAACACAUAUUUUUUGUUUUUUGUUUUUGUUAACCCAAUGUUUUAUUUAUAAGAGUGUGUAGAGAGAUACCAGCUGGUCAUCAAUGAGAAGGUUAGAAGCUCCAAGUCACAACGGAUGGCUUGAACAGAGAAUACAAAGGAUCAGCUGAGUUUCUCUCUCUCUCUCUCUCUCUCUCCUUCUCUCUCUCUCUCCUUCUCUCCUUCUCUCUCCCUCUCUCUCUCUCUCUCUCCUUCUCUCUCCCUCUCUCCUUCUCUCUCUCUCCUUCUCUCUCCCUCUCUCUCAUUCUCUCUCUCCUUCUCUCUCUCUCUCCUUCUCUCUCCCCCUCUCUCUCUCCUUCUCUCUCCCUCUCUCCUUCUCUCUCUCUCCUUCUCUCUCCCUCUCUCUCAUUCUCUCUCUCCUUCUCUCUCCCUCUCUCUCAUUCUCUCUCUCCUUCUCUCUCCCUCUCUCUCAUUCUCUCUCUCCUUCUCUCUCCCUCUCUCUCACUCAUUCUCAACUACUUUUUGUAAAUAAGUUAAAACUUAGAUAUGCUUGCCAACUAAAAAACAAAUCCCCGACAGUCCCUACAGAAAAAUUGGUUUGUUACACCUUAAAAGGUGUAAAAGGAGGGAGUUAUAACUUUUCCCUCCACUAGGGACAAAAUUGGUUUGUUACACCUCAAAGAGGUGUAAAAGGAGGGAUUGUUAGGGAUUAAUAAAAAAUAGCAAUAAUCACAUUAUGACUUUUAGCAAGAAUGCUGCUUAGACACAUUUAUAAAACACAUUUGUAUGCCAGGCACAGCACACAGAAAUAAGGAGUAUCGAAAGAAAGGACACACUGAUAACGCUUUGCACAUCGCCACAUAUUUUGAGGGCAAGCAGAUAAAAAACUGAAGCACUCUUUGUGCUCCAAUUCAAGGCCACGGGCCCAGGUGGAGAUUGAUACUGACGAACACUAGACAAGAUACAAUAGUGUGCUGUUAGCUUUUUUCCUUCCACAGGGCGCUGACCGGAAGCUGAAGCACCAAGAGGCUAGGACUAGCCUGCGUGCCUACGUAAUGGGCGGGCCGAGUCUAAACCAUGGUGCUGCCCCAACAGUUUUUGACCAAUCAGAUAAUUGCACAUUCAUAUUAUAAAACUCUGUGUAAAAGUAAGUUAGGGAUCCUUUUUCUGGGAGGUGGUUACAGCUAACUGCUUUGCAGCCUGUGAUUUCUGAACAGAGAAGGUCGAUGUACAUCAUUUACGCUUUCAUUAUUGUCUUAAAUAAAUAGUCAAAAGGA